CUGGAGUGCCCUGGCGCGAUCUCGGCUCACUGCAGGCUCCGCCCCUGGGGUUCACGCCAUUUUCCUGCCUCAGCCUCCCCAGUAGCUGGGACUACAGGAGCCCGCCACCUCGCCCGGCUAAUUUUUUGUAUUUUUAGUAGAGACGGGGUUUCACCGUGUUAGCCAGGAUGGUCUUGAUCUCCUGACCUCGUGAUCCGCGCGCCUCGGUCUCCCAAAAUGCUGGGAUUACAGGCGUGUGCCACCGCGCCUGGCCUCAUCUCUUAAUUCGAGUAAUUUUACAUAAGCAACAAUGGGGUAAGGAGGAGAAAAGAAAGAAGGAAAAAUUGGAAAGAUAAAUGGGGUCUUUCCAGUGAAGCCUCCAGGCCUCCAGACUGGAACUUAUACCACUGAUUCUUCUGAAUCUUAGGCCUUUGGACUUGGACUGGAACUAAACCAUCAGCUCUUCUUGUUCUACCACUUGCAGACUGUAUGUCUUGGGACAUGUCAGCCUCUGUAAUCACGCUCAAUUUUCCUACAUAAUUAAGAGUUUGGAAUUCGGGCAAUAUCAAGAACCACAUCUGUCCUGAAAUCAAUUAUCUCUGUUUGAAACACAAGAAAUAAGAAGACCAUUUUGAGAAGAACAGAGAGUAGCCUUAAGAAAAUCCCUGUCGCAAGCACUCUGGGAUUUGGACUCAAAUGCUAAUUAUACAACGUUGGUGGACCAGCCUUAAAACCAACAAUGAUUUGUAACAUUGAUUCUUUGGGAAAGGGCAUUCGGGAUCCCACAUCACCAUCUAACAAAUGAAUUUUUGUAAGAAAACCCAUUG
Molecule: long non-coding RNA, 806 nt
Filed under: Homo sapiens (human)
Lineage: Eukaryota; Metazoa; Chordata; Mammalia; Primates; Hominidae
Description: HSALNT0110362
Source: RNAcentral